CCUCAGACCAUUUGGGUGCCAACAGCAACUGCAGCUCUGGCCCAAGCCAGGUGUGGGCUGACCUAGCCAGGGAGCGGGGAAGUGAAAGGAAUGGGUCCCUUCCCACUCAGAGGGCGGAGCCCCCACUUCUGGUGAGAGAAAGCUGAGCAGAAUGGAUCUAAUCUGAUUCCUCCACCCAGAAGCCCUUAAAAUGCAGCUUUGUUUUAAGCCUUCUUGAAGAUUUGGGCUAGAUCUAGAAAAGAACCUCACCACGGAGGAUGUGCAAAGUACAACACGUGACCCCGGAGACGGAAGCUCUUCUCUACCUCCGUAAAGAUGAUCUCUGAUGAACAGACAUGAUCAUGCCUGGAGAACAGGGAUGGACAGUCCCGCUUCUGAAAGACCCUGUCUGGCUGAUGAUUCAUGGUGCGCCGGGCAGACCCCAGGCCAAGAGACCCCACCCACAGUACCUGAGUGCUCAGCUGGGAACCAGACCAGACCUCAAAACAGACCAGCCCCCCAGCAUUGACCUGGAUGCCUGCCACAGCCUCCUCCCUGGUCUCCGGCCUCCCACCUCUGCUCCUCGGUCUCCUCUACCCAGCCAGUAACUGCAGAGAGCACUAAAGCACAGUCCUGGCAUCUCACCCCCUUAACCCUGGCCACGGCUUCCCAGUGCCUCCAAGAUAAAGCACCAACACCUGAGGACAGCAGCUUGUUUUGAGAGUCCCCUCCAUUGAAACACGCACAUCUAAUUUGUCCUUCAGUUCGCUGGACUCCACGCUGAACGUGCCAUGCUCCAUUGCCCCGUGAGUAACUCCAUGCUCUUGCCGGUUUCACACGGCCUCUCAGAGCUGGAGCCUUUGUUCAGGAGCCCUGGGCAGCUUUCAGGAAGCUCUUGGGCUCAUCAGCUUCCUCUGGCUGAAGCCGCCCCAGUGGAAUCAUGGGGAUUUCUUACUUUGAAGGUGGGGCCACCCGCAGACUGUAACCGGCUGGUUCAAGAUCAAGGACUUCCCCAGGCCACCUGCCUCAGAGGCAAGAAAGGCUCAGCUGAGUCCCAGACACUCCUCGCUGUGGCCCCUCCUUCCUCCCUGCUGGGCAGGCCCCCCUCAAUUCUGUUUGCCAGCAGGGCCUAGUAACACUGAAAGACGAAAAGGGAAAUAAAAUAAACACAAUUAAUAGGCUAAAGGUUACUGAAUAAAGUGGCAGCAGUAAAUAAAUUGACUACUGUGCAAAUACAAAGACAUGAAGACAUGAAACCCCUGCUCUAAAUGACCACUCACCAAGAGCAAGGCCUGGGCUGGAGGCAGGGAGCACCUCCCUAAGGAGCACUCCCUCUUUCCCGGAGUGAGUCCUCCUUCUAGAUGGAAUUCAGUCCGGGUUCCUCUUGAGCCACAGUCCCUGUUGGGGCCUAUCUCAGUGGACUCAAGAUCCUGAACUUCUUCCAGAUUGCUGACUACACAUUUGAGUCACCCAGAGAUUAAAAGAAAAAACAAAUAAUUUCCCAGUGAUCAGGAGUAAAUCAGCUGGGGCAGGGUUGGUGCUAUGAAUGACCACACUGAUUUGUACACUUCACUGAUUUGUAGUGUUUGCUAUUUCCGUCGUGUAAAUACUGCCAACAUGGACAAUCUUCAGUUGCUAAUGGUUUACUAACUGGCUUGUAAAUGAAUUCAUUCAGUAUUCAAGAAAAUGGCACUACAUUUAGAAACAUUUUGUAGCAUUUCUUACUUUCUAAGAAUUUCCAAUAGACACCAUGAUCACUAAAAAAUCAUAACCAGGCUGGGGGCAGUGGCUCACGCCUAUAAUUCCAAUAAUUUGGGAGACCAAGGAGGGAAGAUCACUUGAGGCCAGGAGUUUGAGACCAGCCUGGGCAACAUAGCAAAG
Molecule: long non-coding RNA, 1860 nt
Filed under: Homo sapiens (human)
Lineage: Eukaryota; Metazoa; Chordata; Mammalia; Primates; Hominidae
Description: PREDICTED lncRNA (TCONS_00190154)
Source: RNAcentral